CUGGUUGCCUGAGUGCUCAGCAAGUGGAAGCUACUGCUUUCUUUGAGGGAGCCCAACCAGGCCAAAAGGAAAAUCACCAAGCAGGUCUUGGGAAGAAAGGCCAUGUGGGAGUGAUGACAAGGAACAGUCUUUCUGGCCUCCAAAGGGAUAUUUAUUCCUGGGAUCCAGGACUGAUCUGGGGGUUUUCAGACUUCUAAAAAUGAAAUUAAAAAUUUGACUAACAUGGAGACAAGAAGUGAGACCAUCAUUUCCACACCCCGUCCUGAUAUGCGUGCCCCACACCACCGAGGAAGUGCCAGGAAAAUCACCAACCGGGUCUUGGGAAGAAAGGCCAUGAGGGAGUGAUGACAAGGAAAGAUCCUUCUGGACUCCAAAGGGAUAUUUAUUCCUGGGAUCCAGCACUGAUCUGGGGGUGAACAAUCUGUGUUUUUACAUGCUGCAUGGAUGUGUGUUUUGGGACAUUCGCUGGACCUGUGUUAAUCUAGGCAGGGAUCGAUUUGAUCCAGAUAAUCAAGAAGAGUCAGGUUGGAGGGGGAAAGUACGAGAAGGGAAAGGAAGACAUCAUUUCCUCGGUGUCAGGUUGGUUCUGUCUUCUUGUUCCAGCCUUCAACUGAACCCUCUUUCGUAUGUUUUUAUAUCUCUAGAAAAGAAAUCAAAUAACUUUUGCCCGACAUGGAGACAAGAAGUAAAACCAUCAUUUCCUCCC
Molecule: long non-coding RNA, 706 nt
Organism: Ornithorhynchus anatinus (platypus)
Lineage: Eukaryota; Metazoa; Chordata; Mammalia; Monotremata; Ornithorhynchidae
Exons: 4
Source: RefSeq, a predicted model, not a curated record